Zophobas morio is the source of this 514-nucleotide long non-coding RNA. RefSeq lists it as uncharacterized. The record is from RefSeq and is a predicted model, not a curated record. NCBI's taxonomy places the organism in Eukaryota, Metazoa, Arthropoda, Insecta, Coleoptera, Tenebrionidae. The transcript is spliced from 4 exons.
UUUUGAACAUUAAAUUUAAGGCCCGUCCGCGUUACCUUAUUAAAACUUUACCAUGCCGUCGAUAUCAGCAUAUCAAGCAUCUAUCGAAGAAAAAACGCAGCCGUUAAAUGCGCUUUAGCUUCAAAAAUAAAUAUGCCUCGAUUUAAGAAUAGAUAUUUAGUGGCAAGGUUAUCCAGUACGAAAUUUGCAGAAUCUUGUGACGCUAAGGAAUUCCUUAAGGUAUUGCGAGAAGCUUUUCUGGUUUUACACGGUGAAGUAAAGUUAGUUAAGCUGGGGUCGUCGCUUCAAGUUAACCUUCAUAGCUAAGUUUAUAGAUUCAAAUGCUGCAAAAAUCUGCUUACUUCGAUGUGCACGGAAUUUUCAUAAAGAAACCAGAAGUGCCUUAACUUUACUUAAUCGACUUACCAAGUGUGAUUGUGUUGUUUCUGUUAUUGGUGUUUCAGGCUCUUUUGAAAAAGCAAAAACUCUUGCUUUGAAAGAAAUUAACUUUCAAUUACCAAAAGAACCGAAAAAU